RNAcentral lists this long non-coding RNA (2008 nucleotides) under Marmota monax (woodchuck). The record is from RNAcentral. Lineage: Eukaryota; Metazoa; Chordata; Mammalia; Rodentia; Sciuridae.
GUCCAACUACGCUGAACAUUUCAGUCCAGAGAACUUAAAAAGAUGGCCCCAGCCCGAGUCCGUGCCGCUCAUGGAGGUAGGUAUUAGCUAGAGAAGACAUUGAUGAAGCUGUACAUGCAAUAUUAUUUAGAGAAAAUUAUGUUGUGAAGAGAUUGGAUACAUAUUUUCAGCAUCUGGAUACUUUUAAGGAAAGAAGAAAAGAGAUGUUACACAGAAAAUGGAUUAUGAAUGUUGCAGAGCCCAUUCAACAGAAAAUUAUGGGAAAAGUAACUUCAAAUAGAGGAGCUGAAAAAACAAAGCGAGAGAACUUUGAAUGUUUUUUUUUUUUAAAAUCCACAGAUAAAACGGCUCCAGUCCCUCCGUUUUGUGGUCCUCUGCUGCGAAGACAGCAAAAGGCAGAGGAAGAGGCCAGAGCCAGCCGUUGAUAUGAGACAGGAAAAAAAUACUUCGCCAAAGAGCUCAAGGAAACCAAGGACAGCCUGCACGCCAAAUGGCCCCCGUUCAUUUUCACUCUGCAAAACGUGAUUCCGAAAGAGUCUCAUAAAGCCUCUGGGGUACCCAGGAAAAGUAAGGCAUUCAGUCCUGAAAAGCCUAUCUGUAUGGAAAAGAAGCGUCUGUUUGGUAAGGAGAAGACGACCAACCUCAGUCAGCUUGCUUUUGAAAGGCAGUUCCCUUUCUCCCAGCUCCGCAAGAACAAAGAGGCUGAGAAGAAGGGUCUGUGGUGCUGGGAUUGAACCUAAGGCCUCGUGCAUGCCGGGAGAGCUGCCCCAGCCUUAAGAGGCGGUUUAUAUGCAGGGAUUUUGCUAUCAGUUUUCCACCCAGUGCUCAUGGUUUGCUGGGCACAGCAGCUCCUGGCCUGCGCCCCCCAUCCCUCUCCCACAAGCCCUGAAGCCUGAGGUUAGCCCCUGGGGAAGUGCCUGCGGUAGGCUAAGGGUCCAGGACCUGUUGUGAGUGGACAGCUGCACUUUCUCCUUCCACCAGCCACAUGCAGAGGGCCAAGGACCAUCUCCUCUCUCCAGUUUGAAAACCUGGUUGGAUAUUUUGGGACCCAGCUUCUCCUCAGCAUGUUGUUCUCCCAGUCUCUCUGGAGUCAAAUGAAUUCUCCUUAGAUGGCAGGUUACCAGACUGCUUUCCUCAUCAGCUUUUUCUGAGCAUAAUUAUAUUUGAGAGCAAAGGAGCCCCCCCCCCAUUCAAUUUUUUAAAAUAUUGAAUGUGGGUGAUGAUUUCAUGUACAUACUAAUAUAUCCUUCACUCAACAUUGUUACUGUGUGUGUGGUGAGAACACUUAAGAUCCACUCUCUCAGCAAGUUUCAGGUCCAGUUGUCCCUUGGUAUCUGUGGGAUUGUUUCUAGGAUGCUCUGUGAAUCCCACAGCAUGUGACGCUUGAGCCCCUUAGAUAGACGGUGUAAUUUUUGCACAUACCCUAUGCACAUCCUCCUAUGUACUUUAAGUCAUCUCUGGAUACUUAAGAUGCCUAGAUCAAUAUAAAUGCACUUUUAAAUAGUUCUGAUGUAUUGUUUAGAAAGUAAUGAUCAGGAAAAAAAGUCUAAAUGUUCAGUACAGAUACAAUUUUUCUCCCAAAUAUUUUUGAUCUGCAGUUGAUUAAAUCCAUGGAUGUGGAAUCCAUGAAUAGGGAGGUCCAACCGUAUAUAAUAGAGUAUUAAUAACUUAGUCACCAUGCUGUACAGUGGGUCUCUAGAGCGUCAUGACUAAAAGUGGACAGCCUUUGACCAAGGGUUCCCCCUUUUCCCACCUCUCACCUGACACCUGCUCUCUGAGUUCAGCUUUUUUAGAUUUCACACAUCAACCAGUUUUUGCAGUGUUAAUCUUUCUGGGACUGGCUUGUUUCAUUGAGAGUGAUGUCCUCCAAGUUCAUCCAUGUUGUUACAAACGAUAGGACUUCCUUGUCUUUACCAAUUCACCUAUCAAUGGACACUUAGUUUAUGUGUCUUAGCUGUUAUGAAUAAUGUUGCAAUAAACAUGGCAGUGAAAAUUUAAAAAAAAUAAA